GAUGAACGCUGGCGGCGUGCCUAAUACAUGCAAGUCGAGCGAACGGACGAGAAGCUUGCUUCUCUGAUGUUAGCGGCGGACGGGUGAGUAACACGUGGAUAACCUACCUAUAAGACUGGGAUAACUUCGGGACACCGUAGAUAAUACCGGAUAAUAUUUUGAACCGCAUGGUUCAAAAGUGAAAGACGGUCUUGCUGUCACUUAUCGAUGGAUCCGCGCUGCAUUAGCUAGUUGGUAAGUUAAAGGCUUACCAAGGCAACGAUGCAUAGCCGACCUGAGAGGGGGAUCGGCCACACUGGAACGGAGACACGGUCCAGACGCCUACGGGAGGCAGCAGUAGGGAACCGUCCGCAAUGGUCGAAAGCCUGACGCAGCAACGCCGCGUGAGUGAUGAAGGUCUUCCGUGCGUAAAACUCUGUUAUUAGGUAAGAACAUAUUUGGAAUGAACUGUGCACAGCUUGACGGUACCUAAUCAGAAAGCCACGGCUAACUACGUG
Molecule: ribosomal RNA, 497 nt
Filed under: uncultured bacterium
Lineage: Bacteria
Description: partial 16S ribosomal RNA
Rfam family: Bacterial small subunit ribosomal RNA
Source: RNAcentral